GCUACCAUGCAGUCGAGCGGUACAUUUCAAAGCUUGCUUUUGAAGAUGACGAGCGGCGGACGGGUGAGUAAUGCCUGGGAAUUUGCCCAUUUGUGGGGGAUAACAGUUGGAAACGACUGCUAAUACCGCAUACGCCCUACGGGGGAAAGCAGGGGACCUUCGGGCCUUGCGCUGAUGGAUAAGCCCAGGUGGGAUUAGCUAGUAGGUGAGGUAAAGGCUCACCUAGGCGACGAUCCCUAGCUGGUCUGAGAGGAUGAUCAGCCACACUGGGACUGAGACACGGCCCAGACUCCUACGGGAGGCAGCAGUGGGGAAUAUUGCACAAUGGGGGAAACCCUGAUGCAGCCAUGCCGCGUGUGUGAAGAAGGCCUUCGGGUUGUAAAGCACUUUCAGCGAGGAGGAAAGGGUGUAAGUUAAUACCUUACAUCUGUGACGUUACUCGCAGAAGAAGCACCGGCUAACUCCGUGCCAGCAGCCGCGGUAAUACGGAGGGUGCGAGCGUUAAUCGGAAUUACUGGGCGUAAAGCGUGCGCAGGCGGUUUGUUAAGCGAGAUGUGAAAGCCCCGGGCUCAACCUGGAACCGCAUUUCGAACUGGCAAACUAGAGUCUUGUAGAGGGGGGUAGAAUUCCAGGUGUAGCGGUGAAAUGCGUAGAGAUCUGGAGGAAUACCGGUGGGCGAAGCGCCCCUGGACAAAGAACUGACG
This 704-nucleotide ribosomal RNA is filed under the name uncultured bacterium. RNAcentral's name for it is "bacterial SSU rRNA". It matches the Rfam family "Bacterial small subunit ribosomal RNA", at positions 48 to 745 of the family's 1533-position model. The record is from RNAcentral.